RNAcentral lists this small RNA (28 nucleotides) under Bombyx mori (domestic silkworm). RNAcentral's name for it is "ovarian small RNA-25547". The record is from RNAcentral. Lineage: Eukaryota; Metazoa; Arthropoda; Insecta; Lepidoptera; Bombycidae.
UCAGAACUAUUGGAAUGCCAUUUACGAA